This 308-nucleotide long non-coding RNA is filed under the name Castor canadensis (American beaver). Its description in RNAcentral is "lncRNA (ENSCCNG00000008624.1)". Lineage: Eukaryota; Metazoa; Chordata; Mammalia; Rodentia; Castoridae. The record is from RNAcentral.
CUACCUAGCCCAGCAUUUACUUUGAUGAAAAGAGAGACAUCAGUUUCUAAGGGAAUGAGAGAAUGAAUGGACCAGAAUUACCAGAUAGCUCUUGAACCAAAUUUAGGUAUAAAAGUCUUACCUACGCUGAUGAAGAUGGCUUUUGAAAGGUGUACUGCAAGGAAAAAAAUGCCAUUGUAAAUUCUGCUCUUAUCAAGUAUUUCAGGUUUCUCUAAGAUAUUCAAAAGGUAAAGGACCUACUGCUUAAAUUCUAAUUUAAAGGUAAAAUUGCAUAUACAAUAAAACUCAUUUUUAAGAAUAGACUAACA